CCCCUAGAUGUUCUGGGCCGCACGCGCGCUACACUGAACAGUUCAACAAGUCUUAACCUUGGCCGAUAGGUCUGGGUAAUCUUUGAACGCUGUUCGUGAUUGGGAUAGACCUUUGCAAUUAUGGGUCUUCAACGAGGAAUUCCUAGUAAACGCAAGUCAUCAGCUUGCAUUGAUUACGUCCCUGCCCUUUGUACACACCGCCCGUCGCACCUACCGAUUGAAUGGUCCGGUGAAAUCUCGGGACGGCGGCUUGGUCGCUUGCGUCCGACUGCUGCAACUUGAUUAAACCAUAUCAUUUAGAGGAAGGUGAAGUCGUAACA
This 320-nucleotide ribosomal RNA is filed under the name uncultured eukaryote. Its description in RNAcentral is "partial 18S ribosomal RNA". It matches the Rfam family "Eukaryotic small subunit ribosomal RNA", at positions 1470 to 1796 of the family's 1831-position model. The record is from RNAcentral.